RNAcentral lists this ribosomal RNA (301 nucleotides) under uncultured bacterium. RNAcentral describes it as "partial 16S ribosomal RNA". It matches the Rfam family "Bacterial small subunit ribosomal RNA", at positions 509 to 807 of the family's 1533-position model. The record is from RNAcentral.
CAGCAGCCGCGGUAAUACGAGGGGUGCAAGCGUUAUUCGGAUUGAUUGGGUGUAAAGGGUGUGCAGACGGCUUAUUAAGUCACUUGUUAAAUUCUUCGGCCUAACUGAAGGUCUGCAAGUGAUACUGAUGAGCUAGAGGGUGGAAGAGAGAAGUGGAAUUCUCGGAGUAGCGGUAAAAUGCGUAGAUCUCGAGAGGAACACCGGUGGCGAAAGCGGCUCUCUGGCUUGUAACUGACGCUGAGGCUCGAAGGCGUGGGGAGCAAACAGGAUUAGAUACCCGCGUAGUCCCUGUCUCUUAUAC